RNAcentral lists this long non-coding RNA (2238 nucleotides) under Triticum aestivum (bread wheat). Its description in RNAcentral is "long non-coding RNA (TAES_LNC006949)". The record is from RNAcentral. Lineage: Eukaryota; Viridiplantae; Streptophyta; Magnoliopsida; Poales; Poaceae.
GCGAUUGCGUCACAUUCAACACAACUUACAAGACCAACAUAUUUCAUAUGCCUUUGGGAGUGUUUGUUGGAACAAACCAUCACUUGCAGUCAACGAUAUUUGCUGUUGCCCUGAUUAGAUACGAAGAUGCAAAGUCAUUCAAGUGGUUGUUCGAUACAUUUGUACGGUGCAUGAACAACAAACAUCCAACUUGCAUUCUAACAGGUAAGUUCAGAAAAAAAAACUCUACAAGUUUCAUCAAUUGUACAGUCUAUGGGUCUGUAUCUGCAUACACUAUUUUUUUUCUGAAAAAAAUGUUAAGCAAGCAGUUCAACCACUGUUAGCACAGAAGUCCAACAAAAAUAGUAUAAGAAGCAGAAUUAUAUGUCAAAUGUUUAGAAAAAAUAUAGUUCAGGAUGUGAAGUUCAAAUAGAGGAACCAUACAAAGUUCAAGGACACUGCUGCAAGGAAAAACACAUGUGACAUAUAGUUAUGUAAGUGAAGUUCAAGCACUGGUACCACAGAAGGUCAACAACACUGCUAUAAGAAAAAAAAAUAUGUCACAUUAUUUGUUCGUCCUACUGCUACCUGUGAAGUUCAAGUACUUGUACAUCAUAAGUUCACCAUUAGUAAAAAGAAGCAAAUUUCACUUUUUUUAAUUCAUGCAGACCAGUGCCCGUCGAUGGCGAAAGCCAUACCUCAGUCAUUCCCAAACACCGUCCACAAGCUAUGCGAUGGCACAUCCUGAAGAAGUUCAAGGAAUACCUCGCGUUGCUGUACAAAAAGUAUGACACAUUCAAACAAGAGUUUAGAGCGAUCUUGAACUGGCCGCUAAUGCCUACAGAGUUUGAAACUUCCUGGGCUACACUCAUGUAGAAGUUCAACCUACACAACGACCAGAUGAUGAUGCAGCUCUGGAAUGAUAGGAAGAUGUGGAUUUCAGCAUAUUACAAGAAUAUUUUCUGUGCUAGAAUGACUUUCACACAACGAAGCUAGAGCAUGAAUCACGUGCUCAAGAGAGGGUUUGUCAAGGGGACCUAGAACCUACACAAGUUUGCUAGGUGGGUAAAUGCAUGCAUACAAACUCGGAUGCAGAAGGAGAACGAGCAAACAAUGAACAACAUGGUAUUAAAGACAAAAAAACACCCAUCAUAUUGUGACUUCCUUCAACAUGUGCAUACUGUAUUUGAAAAAAUGACUCUGCUUCGACUAAUAUCUUAUUUCUUGACAUGUGUGCAGACCAAUCCUGUGACAAAAACAACCUACGACUACGAGGAAGACAUGGCUAUCAAGUACACGAGAGCCGUGUACACUGAGAUGAGGACUAGGAUGAGAAAAGCGAUGCUAUUUCGCGCAAAGCCUAUAGCAGAGCCCACUAAGUACCUUAUGUACUACCACAACAAGACUGGCCAUGAUGAUGAAGAAAGAUUUGCCUGGUCAAAGCAUGAAUUCCAGGUUGUAGCUAACCCUGAUAAUGAAAUAUACGAGUGUGAAUGCAAGCUAUGGACACACACAGAUGAGCGGAAAAACAAACUCAUUAAAUACCUAAACUAGUAGUAUCAUAUCAAAUAGAUGAAACUCAUUGCUGGCUCACAAACUAUGUAUUUUGCAUUCAUCACAAAAAUGCAGGCCUCUUCUGCCUUCACAUCAUGAACAUACUGGACCACCUGAAGGCCGACAAAUUUCCAGACAAGUAUAUCCUCAAACGGUACACAAAGACUGCAAGAUCACAACCAACAUUCGAUACAUGGGACUACAACAUGUCUGCAUCGGAUGGCAGCUCAAGACUAUCGAAGCAAGACAUCUUGCUGCAGCUAAAUUUUAUGGUUAACAAGAAAGCGAUGAGAUGUGACCAGCAAUAUGACAGAGCCUUCUAUGUUCUCAAGAGGCUAGUGGAAGAGAUGCAAUACAUUCAGCAAAUCGAGCGGAUGCUGACCAAAGGAUGGCUGAAGAGGAUGCUGAAAUUGAAGAUGACCUUCAUUAUUAUGCAGCUGAAAUGCUCCAGGCCGCUGCUCAAGCCAACCAAUCCAAGCAGGGUGUUGACCAAUUAAUGCAGCAGCGGUAGCAAGAGACGAUGAAACUGCCUCUGUACUCUGAAACAAAGGGUAGGAAGAUAAUUUCUGUAGCAAAGGAAAGUGAGAGAGCUCAAAUAAAGGCACCACCUGCAGGAAGAGUCAUCAUGCUCGAUGGGAACGGAGUGCCACUUGGACACAGGCAAUGUAGUGUGUGCAAAAAGGUUGCAAGACACAACAAGCUCAC